RNAcentral lists this ribosomal RNA (253 nucleotides) under uncultured bacterium. RNAcentral's name for it is "partial 16S ribosomal RNA". It matches the Rfam family "Bacterial small subunit ribosomal RNA", at positions 524 to 776 of the family's 1533-position model. The record is from RNAcentral.
GACGUAGGGUGCAAGCGUUAAUCGGAAUUACUGGGCGUAAAGAGCGCGCAGGCGGUCGUUCAAGUCGAGUGUGAAAGCCCCCGGCUCAACUGGGGAGGGUCACUCGAUACUGAUCGACUCGAAGGCAGAAGAGGGAAGCGGAAUUCCCGGUGUAGUGGUGAAAUGCGUAGAUAUCGGGAGGAACACCAGUGGCGAAGGCGGCUUUCUGGUCUGCUCUUGACGCUGAGGCGCGAAAGCUAGGGUAGCAAACGGG